Molecule: ribosomal RNA, 406 nt
Filed under: uncultured bacterium
Lineage: Bacteria
Description: partial 16S ribosomal RNA
Rfam family: Bacterial small subunit ribosomal RNA
Source: RNAcentral
AUUGAACGCUGGCGGCAGGCCUAACACAUGCAAGUCGAACGAGUGGCGGACGGGUGAGUAAUGUCUGGGAAACUGCCCGAUGGAGGGGGAUAACUACUGGAAACGGUAGCUAAUACCGCAUACCAUCGGAUGUGCCCAGAUGGGAGGAGCUGGUAGGUGGGGUAACGGCGCACCUAGGCGACGAUCCUUAGCUGGUCUGAGAGGAUGACCAGCCACACUGGAACUGAGACACGGUCCAGACUCCUACGGGAGGCAGCAGUGGGGAAUAUUGGACAAUGGGCGCAAGCCUGAUUCAGCCAUGCCGCGUGUGUGAAGAAGGCCUUCGGGUUGUAAAGUACUUUCAGCGGGGAGGCGUUACUAGCAGAAGAAGCACCGGCUAACUCCGUGCCAGCAGCCGCGGUAAUAC